CUACUGUCACCACGCCUUGGUGCUCGGGAAAUCCGGUGUGAUGCCGGUGCGGCCCUCGCCACUGUGAUCGGGAUGUCCGGCUCCAGCCCUCGCGGCAGCCACUGGGCGCACACGCGCCCGGGAAGGCGGAGACCGGACGGUACGACCCGUCAGCCAGGAGACCGGCCAAGGCGCGUUGUCCAUC
This 184-nucleotide non-coding RNA is filed under the name Streptomyces sp. The record is from RNAcentral. Lineage: Bacteria; Bacillati; Actinomycetota; Actinomycetes; Kitasatosporales; Streptomycetaceae. RNAcentral also lists the same sequence under 1 other name.